Molecule: ribosomal RNA, 440 nt
Filed under: uncultured bacterium
Lineage: Bacteria
Description: partial 16S ribosomal RNA
Rfam family: Bacterial small subunit ribosomal RNA
Source: RNAcentral
CCUACGGGGGGCAGCAGUGGGGAAUAUUGCACAAUGGGGGAAACCCUGAUGCAGCGACGCCGCGUGAGUGAAGAAGUAAUUCUUUAUGUAAAGCUCUAUCAGCAGGGAAGAAAAUGACGGUACCUGAGUAAGAAGCCCCGGCUAACUACGUGCCAGCAGCCGCGGUAAUACGUAGGGGGCAAGCGUUAUCCGGAUUUACUGGGUGUAAAGGGAGCGUAGACGGCAGUGCAAGUCUGGAGUGAAAGGCGGGGGCUCAACCCCCGGACUGCUCUGGAAACUGUACGGCUGGAGUGCAGGAGAGGUAAGUGGAAUGCCUGGUGUAGCGGUGAAAUGCGGAGAUAUUAGGAGGAACACCAGUGGCGAAGGCAGCUUACUGGACUGUAACUGACGUUGAGGCUCGAAAGCGUGGGGAGCAAACAGGAUUAGAUACCCGAGUAGUC